This is a microRNA precursor of Panthera pardus (leopard), 86 nucleotides long. Ensembl annotates it as microRNA 1224. The record is from Ensembl. Lineage: Eukaryota; Metazoa; Chordata; Mammalia; Carnivora; Felidae.
GUGAGGACUCGGGAGGUGGAGGGUGGUGCUGCCAGGGCCAGGGCACUGUCUCAGCUCACUUCUCCCCCCACCUCCUCUCUCCUCAG